AGUGAACGCUGGCGGUAGGCCUAACACAUGCAGGUCGAACGGCAGCGCAGUAAGAGCUUGCUCUUACGGGUGGCGAGUGGCGGACGGGUGAGGAAUACAUCGGAAUCUACUUUUUCGUGGGGGAUAACGUAGGGAAACUUACGCUAAUACCGCAUACGACCUACGGGUGAAAGCAGGGGAUCUUCGGACCUUGCGCGAUUGAAUGAGCCGAUGUCGGAUUAGCUAGUUGGCGGGGUAAAGGCCCACCAAGGCGACGAUCCGUAGCUGGUCUGAGAGGAUGAUCAGCCACACUGGAACUGAGACACGUUCCAGACUCCUACGGGAGGCAGCAGUGGGGAAUAUUGGACAAUGGGCGCAAGCCUGAUCCAGCCAUACCGCGUGGGUGAAGAAGGCCUUCGGGUUGUAAAGCCCUUUUGUUGGGAAAGAAAAGCAGCAGGUUAAUACCCCGCUGUUCUGACGGUACCCAAAGAAUAAGCACCGGCUAACUUCGUG
Molecule: ribosomal RNA, 492 nt
Filed under: uncultured bacterium
Lineage: Bacteria
Description: partial 16S ribosomal RNA
Rfam family: Bacterial small subunit ribosomal RNA
Source: RNAcentral